RNAcentral lists this non-coding RNA (215 nucleotides) under Palpitomonas bilix. The record is from RNAcentral.
GCCCAAUCGGUAGGUGAAACGACAGGAAAAACACAAAAGAAAUCGGGAAAAAGAAUUGUGGGGAGGGGCAUCGUUCUACGUUCGUCAUCCAAGCCCAGGAGGGUCUGUGAAAAAACAAAAAAAAAAGAUAUCCGCCCCCUCAUUCCCCUUUUUUACUUUUUUUACUUUUUUCUCUUUUUUCUCUUUUUUUCUCUUUUGUUUUGGGAUAAGAUUCU